CCUACGGGCGGCAGCAGUAGGGAAUUUUGGGCAAUGGGGGGAACCCUGACCGAGCCACGCCGCGUGAACGAAGAAGUUCUUCGUAUUGUAAAGUACUUUUAACAGGGAAGAAAGAGAAAUUUGACGGUACCUGAAGAAUAAGCUCCGGCAAACUAAGUACCAGCAGCCGCGGUAAUCCGUAGGGAGCGAGCGUUAUCGGGAAUUAUUGGGCGAAAAGGGUGAGUAGAGGGCAUAGUAUGUCUUGGGUAAAAAUGCUGGUCUAAACCCAGUAGGGCAAAAGAUACUGCAAAGCUAGAGUAUGACAGAGGCAAGUGGAACUACAUGUGUAGCGGUAAAAUGCGUAAAGAUAUGUAAGAACACCAGUGGCGAAGGCGGCUUGCUGGGUCGAUACUGACAUUGAGGCACGAAAGCGUGGGGAGCAAACAGGAUUAGAUACCCUUGUAGUC
RNAcentral lists this ribosomal RNA (446 nucleotides) under uncultured bacterium. RNAcentral describes it as "partial 16S ribosomal RNA". It matches the Rfam family "Bacterial small subunit ribosomal RNA", at positions 338 to 795 of the family's 1533-position model. The record is from RNAcentral.